UAACGUCAGUGGCAGACGGGUGAGUAACGCGUGGGAACGUACCUUUUGGUUCGGAACAACUGAGGGAAACUUCAGCUAAUACCGGAUAAGCCCUUACGGGGAAAGAUUUAUCGCCAAAAGAUCGGCCCGCGUCUGAUUAGCUAGUUGGUGAGGUAAUGGCUCACCAAGGCGACGAUCAGUAGCUGGUCUGAGAGGAUGAUCAGCCACAUUGGGACUGAGACACGGCCCAA
RNAcentral lists this ribosomal RNA (230 nucleotides) under uncultured bacterium. Its description in RNAcentral is "partial 16S ribosomal RNA". It matches the Rfam family "Bacterial small subunit ribosomal RNA", at positions 87 to 334 of the family's 1533-position model. The record is from RNAcentral.